This is a long non-coding RNA of Hemiscyllium ocellatum (epaulette shark), 549 nucleotides long. RefSeq lists it as uncharacterized. Lineage: Eukaryota; Metazoa; Chordata; Chondrichthyes; Orectolobiformes; Hemiscylliidae. The transcript is spliced from 5 exons. The record is from RefSeq and is a predicted model, not a curated record.
AUUUACUCAGUGAGUGCAAGAGGUUUGUUUGAAACAGACCGCAAUGGAGAGAUCAGCGCCCAGGGAAGCGAGGGAACAGCAGGCUCCUUCCAGCAGCACAUCGGGAUGGGAGCCUGGGACACAGAGGGGGCUCCGAGGCCGGGAUUGAUUCGGGCUGAAAAAUCUUCUGUCUUCCUCCAAGCAAAUAUUUGAAUGAUGAGGACAAUGUCAUAUUUCCUCAGGACAAAGCCAAGUGAGACCAGCUGCUUCUAACAAACAGCAGAAAUGUUCAUGUACAGAUUGCUACCUGCACACUGUAACACAUAUAGGAGAAAUCGACAAGGAGAAAUUGAGGAUGAUAUUUACAUAUCAGAACUGGCAGGUACAAAUUGACAAAUACUUAAAGGACCAAGACAUAUUCCCUCGGGGCAAAGCUAAGUGUAAUCAGUUCCUACUGACAAACAGCAGGAAACAUGAACUGAGAACUCUCCUGUCCCACUCUGCUAACUGGCUGUCCACUUUACAGCAAACAUUUAAACUGCUCAGUAACACAAUACAGGAAGACUGAAG